CCUGACCUCAGAUUAUCCACCAACUCAGCCUCCCAAAGUGCUGGGAUUACAGGUGUGAGCCACCGUGCCUGGCCAAGCUUUCACCUCUGUAUGGGAACAAAUGAGGAGAGUGAUUCUGCACAAUUUUGCAAAGCGAUAUGAACAAAUCCUGACCAAGGAAAGGAAGUGCAAAGUGUGCUAAGCACAGGGUUUCAGCAGAUAACCGUGAUGCGAUGUGCACAACGGACAGCCUCUUUGCUGCCUUGUCUCAGGGCCUUUGUCAUGCAAACCCUCCACUGAGCCCACAUUUUGACUUGCCCUUUGUACAUGAUUGAUUAAUUGCAGGCGUUAAGUAUAUAAAACAUAUAGACUUCUAUAAAAAUAUUAUUGAUUUUUAGAGUUUUGUUCCCUUUUGGGGGUAAACCUAAGGAAUCACAGACCCCAAGUUCUCAGAUGCCAAAUACUUUAACUUCUCUAAGCUGUUUAUCCAUUGUUAAAGUUCUAACUAGUAAGGUGCUUAGAUAGUGAAAGAUAACAUGUGUUAGCUUAAAACAUACAAAAAUACAGGAAGAAAAUAACUUCCCUUUCACUUAAUAUUUCCUAGGAUGGACGCUGGGAGUCUGAUGAUAUACUGAAGGCUGAUCUCAUAUACAAAUGAGGGCUUUUCUUUUUGCAGUUCUUGUUGUAUUAAAUAGAUUAUAGUUCAUUGAGCAUAGCUUUGCAUAGCAUAACCUACCUCUGUUUUUCAAAUUCAAUGUUUCUAAUUUAUUGAUUUAUUAGGAAAAUAUUUGUUAAGUACCUACUAUGAGUCCAGCAUUGUGCUGGACACUUACAGUGAACUAAAUUGACUGCAGAAUAACAAAACACCUUGUCUUCCCAGGAUCCUAUCUUCUGAGAACCACCCUCUUCUCUUUAUCUUCCUGCUUCUGGUCUUACCUUUAAGUACAAGCCCAUAUACUUACUGUGGGAAUGGCUGUUUUACACCCUGACCCAGUUUUUACAACCAUGACUAUAGGACUUCUGUGGCGUCAUGAAAGAAGAACUGGGUAUUAGCCAAGUUGGAAUAUCAACAAUGCGAUCAUUGAAUGGGUACUCACUGUAUACAAGGUACUGUGCUCGCUGCUAAUGGUAUAAAAAAUUCAGUUCAUGGCAUCUGCCUUACCCAGAACCUUUAAACUAGCUCAAGGCAUCAUAUUUGCAUGAAGUUACAAGGCAGACUAUGCUAAAGAAAAAACAAGUAGCCCAGAUCUUAGAUGGUAGCUGAGGUCACAGGAAGAAAAGAAUGUCUUGCAUUUGUCUAGAAGCCAAAUGGUAACAGCCAUUUCUCUAUCUUCCUAGAAGUUCCAUUUCCUUCUCCACCUUAUUGAAUGAUAGUUUCUCAGUCUUGGAGUCAUCAUACGUUUCCAGCUUAAGAUGAAAAUGUAAAGUUUCUCCCCACUCAGAAUUUUCAUUUUGUGUUUUUUAGGGAGUCGAUGUGUGAACUGCAGAGACGGACUGAUACCAGCAGAUAUUUAUGCAGCAAAACCCUGUGAGAAGAUGAGCCAUAAUCUGAAGAAGAUAAAUAAAAAUGGAUUAUUUUUAUCACUCUAGACAGAGCAUAAAGAGAUGGCAUUUUCUCCGUUUUAAAAUCUCAGAUGUACAUACAUUGAAAUCUAAAUAAAAAAUUAUUCUGA
This is a non-coding RNA of Macaca mulatta (Rhesus monkey), 1652 nucleotides long. The record is from RefSeq and is a predicted model, not a curated record. NCBI's taxonomy places the organism in Eukaryota, Metazoa, Chordata, Mammalia, Primates, Cercopithecidae.